AUUGAACGCUGGCGGCAGGCCUAACACAUGCAAGUCGAGCGGAUGAAGGGAGCUUGCUCCUGGAUUCAGCGGCGGACGGGUGAGUAAUGCCUAGGAAUCUGCCUGGUAGUGGGGGAUAACGUCCGGAAACGGGCGCUAAUACCGCAUACGUCCUGAGGGAGAAAGUGGGGGAUCUUCGGACCUCACGCUAUCAGAUGAGCCUAGGUCGGAUUAGCUAGUUGGUGGGGUAAAGGCCUACCAAGGCGACGAUCCGUAACUGGUCUGAGAGGAUGAUCAGUCACACUGGAACUGAGACACGGUCCAGACUCCUACGGGAGGCAGCAGUGGGGAAUAUUGGACAAUGGGCGAAAGCCUGAUCCAGCCAUGCCGCGUAUGUGAAGAAGGUCUUCGGAUUGUAAAGCACUUUAAGUUGGGAGGAAGGGCAGUAAGUUAAUACCUUGCUGUUUUGACGUUACCAACAGAAUAAGCACCGGCUAACUUCGUG
This 484-nucleotide ribosomal RNA is filed under the name uncultured bacterium. RNAcentral describes it as "partial 16S ribosomal RNA". It matches the Rfam family "Bacterial small subunit ribosomal RNA", at positions 30 to 507 of the family's 1533-position model. The record is from RNAcentral.